CUUCCUCUGCGGUUGCGGAGUCACGCAUCGUGCUCGGCGUUUGGAGGUGACGCGUCCUCUUCGCUCUCGUCUUUCUUGCCACGCGCUGCUAAUCGCAAUUUGCUCACCGGCGGCUCCUUUUAAGACUAACUUCGCGCUAAUUUGGAGAUGACAGCGUCUCCGAGAGCGCCACAUCAGGAGCACGUCCUCGGAGAGCCGACCUUGGAAGGGCUUGCGCGCUACAUCAGGGAGAAGAAUGUGCGGCGCAUUCUCGUGCUCGUCGGAGCAGGCGCCAGUGUAGCUGCCGGCAUCCCAGACUUUCGCUCACCUGACACCGGGAUCUACGCCAACCUCGGCAAGUACAACCUCGAAGACCCGACCGAUGCCUUUUCACUGACCCUUCUGCGCGAGAAGCCAGAGAUAUUCUACUCUAUCGCACGGGAGCUGAACUUGUGGCCUGGGCACUUUCAGCCCACCGCGGUACAUCACUUCAUCCGACUGUUGCAAGACGAGGGCCGUCUCCUGCGCUGCUGCACGCAGAACAUUGACGGCCUGGAGAAGGCAGCGGGCGUGUCGCCGGAGCUCCUCGUCGAGGCGCAUGGCUCUUUCGCUGCUGCCGCCUGCAUUGAAUGCCACACACCAUUCAGCAUUGAGCAGAACUACCUGGAGGCGAUGAGCGGUACGGUCUCCCGCUGCUCUACAUGCGGCGGCAUUGUGAAGCCCAACGUCGUUUUCUUUGGUGAAAAUUUGCCGGACGCGUUCUUCGACGCGCUGCACCACGACGCCCCGAUCGCGGAGCUGGUCAUCAUCAUCGGGACAUCGAUGCAGGUGCACCCGUUCGCGUUGCUGCCGUGCGUCGUGCCCAAGUCAGUCCCGCGCGUUGUCAUGAACCGUGAGCGAGUUGGCGGCCUCCUCUUCCGCUUUCCUGAUGACCCGCUCAACACCGUCCACGAGGAUGCGGUUGCCAAGGAGGGACGCUCGUCCUCUUCGCAGAGUCGUUCCCCGUCCGCGUCGCCACGGCGCGAGGAGGGGGGAACAGAGGACAGCCCCUCGUCGCCAAACGAGGAGGUCGAAGAGGCGUCGACGUCCAGCUCGAGCGACGGCUACGGGCAGUACGGUGACUACCACGCCCACCCCGAUGUCUGCCGGGAUGUUCUCUUCCGCGGCGACUGCCAGGAGAACGUGGUGACGCUCGCGGAGUACCUGGGGCUGAGCGAGGCGCUGGCAAAGCGCAUGCGCUUAUCCGAUGCAGCACCAGCUACUGCACAGAGGGCGCCGAAUGAGACGUGAGCCUGAAUCGCUGCCACCCUGGUAACUGAAGAGAGAUCGGGAAGGUCGUAGACAGAGCAGCUGAGCGUGUCGAAGGCGGUCACACGCACCGCGCGUAGCCUCGCCUCGAAUCAUUUCAGCACUGUUGCUUUUACGCAUGAUGUGUGCCGGUGCAGAAAUAGGGAGCUCGGUGCUCUUGCGUACCCAGCCAACAUUGCAUCAUGGCCGCCCCUCUCUCACUAUUCCUACGCCCUCCGAUCGCGAGAUCGAGUAACGUACACAAACGGGGGGGGGAGGGGAGCGAAUGUGGGAAGAGUCGGCACAGCCAAACACCUGCAUGACCACACCGUGAACUAGUGCAUCUCUGUCAUCACGGAACUCACUCUUAAGCGUGCCGGGCAACGCGUACGAAUCCACGGACACUCAUGGCCUCUCUCUCCACCACAGGGACGUGCACGGCAGCGGUAGUCGCUGCCGUGUCGACGCCGACGGUGCUCGAUAGGGAGGCGCACGCCAUCUCUGCAACCCGCGCGCGGACACUUUCUGGGCUCCGCUCCUCCCUUGCUCUGCGUCUCAGCGCGAGAGAAAGAGGCAGGAUGGCUACCCUCCCCCGUCCUCCCUGCUACAGGGCCGUUGGCCAGCCGAAGUCGCUGCGUCGUGCCCAGCACGUCGGCAAAGUGCUCAUGAUUGCUUGGUGGGGGCUCUUGCGCUAAGAUGCGGUUUCACUUCCCUCUCGGCCGACUACACCCUUCCCCGUUUCUUCGUGUGUCGCGUGCCUGUGUCUGAUCACGUUCUGGUCUCCUUACUCGCCUCCUCUGUGGGCCGUGCGUGCUUAUGCGACUGCAG
RNAcentral lists this unclassified non-coding RNA (2094 nucleotides) under Leishmania donovani. RNAcentral describes it as "gene:LdHU3.26.0300(CDS-product:Silent_information _regulator_2_related_protein_1_putative)". The record is from RNAcentral. Lineage: Eukaryota; Euglenozoa; Kinetoplastea; Trypanosomatida; Trypanosomatidae.